Molecule: non-coding RNA, 2594 nt
Organism: Chiloscyllium plagiosum (whitespotted bambooshark)
Lineage: Eukaryota; Metazoa; Chordata; Chondrichthyes; Orectolobiformes; Hemiscylliidae
Source: RefSeq, a predicted model, not a curated record
GCUCGAGCCCACGCUAACACCUGCCGCGGGGAGAGAUGGGACGGUGAGAGUGCGGGAGAAACAGCGUUAAUGUUUCCGCCCAGUGACUGAGGUGAAAACCGAAAGAAGUGUGGAUGCUAUAAAUCAGAAACAAAGACACAAGUUUCUAGAAAGGCUCAGUAGCUGUGAAGAGAAAUCAAGGAGGCACAGGACUUUAACUACAUUAACUAGGCCUACUGGAUCUCAUAGAAACCCAUACAUCUCAAAUGGGGCUGGAUAGAUGCAGGAAGGAUCUUCCUGACUUCAGGCAAUCCAGGACUAGGGCUCAUAGUCUAAGUGAAGAUCUCGACCCCCGGGAGGGGUCUUUCGGUUCCGCAAUCGGUCAGAUAAUCAAAGGAAUGCAGUCUGCUUCAGCAAGAUUUCACAGUUUAUUAUGAAGCCAAGCACAAGUUUGUCCAGCAACUCGGCAAUUAAAAGCAUCUGUGGAUGGAGAAACUGCACAACUCCACUUAGAACAAAGGCAAUUUUUGUAGUACAGCCUUAAUUGCAGAGUAAUUCCAAUAAAAUGACAUAAUGGACAACAGGUUAAACCAAUGAUAUUUUCUGGAAAACAAAGUUGUUUACCACCCAUUAUCUCUUUGCAUUUACAUUUCAAGGUUAGCUGGGAUGGUUAGUAAUGUCCCAUCUAGCUUAGUUAAUUCCAUACUGUGAAGGCUCCGUUGUCUGCUUUAUCUUUUGAUUCAGUUAGCUCAGCAAGGCAGGAAUGCAGCUUUUAGCGGGGUGAGAAGCCAUUUUAAAUACAGUAUUAAUUUGCAGCUUGAAGCAAUUUUGUUAUGUUACUUUGUAUUAAUAAGCCAUUUUGGCAUAAAAAUGGUUACUCCUGACAAUGGUAAUUCCAGAUUUUAGAUCCUCAUAAGGACCAUUUAGGACCAUGAAGGAAGUUUCUUCAUGCAGAGAGUGGUGAGCCUGUGGAAUUUGCAAUCACAGAAAGCAAUCAAAGCAAAAACAUUGUAUGUAUUCAAGAAGGAAUUCCAUAAAGCACGUGAGCUAAAGGAAACAAAAGAUUGGGGGGGGGUUUCUAAAUGGACUGCUUUGCUGGACUCUGCACCACAGCACAAGCAAAGCAGUGUUUUCAGCCACUCCACCCAAAUAAUUUCACUAAAUGUAAAUGCUGAAAUAGCCAUAGAAUCUUUAUCAAUCACUUUUUUGUCUAAUGUAAAUGACAAAAAAUGGAAAAAAGUCGAAUAAGUCCCAACACGUGGGGCUGGAGGCAUUGAGUUCAUCCGUUGCCGCAGACCUCCAUACCAGUCUGGUGGACCUGAUUACACACCAGGCGCUUAUCGUGGAGCUCCACGAAACGUUCAAAGGCAGGGUCGAAGAAAAGUUGAACAGUAAUCUGGACCCCGCUAUCUGCCAUAAUUCAAAAACAUAAUCAGUAGCUUGAAGACCUCAAGAAGAGAGCGGAUGAUGUCGAGCGCAGAAUCACAAUGGUUGAGACCACAAUCAAUUCAUUGUAUCAUCAGAUCCAAGCCCUUGAAAAGCAGGACUUCUCAGCGGCGAUGGUCCGAAAAAGAAAAUCUUAUUAUGAUAUUAAGAGAAGAUGAAGGGAACUUGUGAACCAAUACCCUUUAAGGUACCCAGCGGUGCUUUGGUUUACUUUCAAUGGAUCAAUACAUUCAGUUGACUACAGAGAAAGCAAAAAAUUUUGUGGACACAUUAAAUUAGACUUGACGUUUUAAUGUAUACAGACAUUAAUUUUUUAAAACAAAAUGUCUUCUUUGUUUUUUUUUCUAUUCUCUGGUACCAACUAGCAUUAAAUUAUACUUGGGGGUGGGCAGAGUACUCACUUUUAACUCAUUUUAACUCUACCAUCUUCUUUCUUUCUUGCUUGUGUCCAUGCAAAACUCCAUGUAGAUGGAGUUAGGAAGGUGCUUAUGAUGGCUAGAUGCCUAUCUAAGGGCAGUUCAAGCCUGGUUUUUGUAUUCAACUGCUCUGGUUGUCAUAUUGGCAGCGGGGAGAAGACAUGUUUUUGGGAUGUUUAGGUACCCUCUUUGGGUGUGGGGGAGGGGGUAAGUUUUCCUAUUCAGCUACAUUGGCACUUUUGUUUUUUUUUGGUUCCUGUUGUAUAUAAUUUUUGUAAGUUUUGAAGAUUUGAAAAAAGUUUCGUAAAAGUUGUGUUAGUCUUUGUAAUCUUUAUGUUCUGUGGAUUUACUUUAAUUGAGGUCAGUGAUUUAUGAUUUGGGUUCUUCGUCUCUGGAGUCCAAAUGUUACUAGAGAGUGUUAUGGCUAAUGAUAUGCUUAAAUGGUAUACCUGGAACAUCAAGGAGAGCCACUCGCCAGUCAAGAGGAAAAAGGGAGAGGGUAGAUAUUACCCUACUGCAGGAGGCGCACCUGGAUAAGGAGCAUUUGAAAUUACAAUCGAGUGGGUUUGAUCAGGUUUAUUUCUUAUCUUUCAACACUAAGAGUAGGGGAGAGGCCGUACUUGUGAGGAAGAAUCUCCCAUUUAAGUUACUGGAUAAUAUUAAAGACAUGUACAGAAGGUUCAUAAUUCUCAAAGCCUUGAUAUAUGGAGAAGAAUACAGUAUUUUAAAUGUUGCUGUCCCCUUGCCCAUCCC